AUUGAACGCUGGCGGCAUGCCUUACACAUGCAAGUCGAACGGCAGCACGGGGGCAACCCUGGUGGCGAGUGGCGAACGGGUGAGUAAUACAUCGGAACGUGUCCUCUUGUGGGGGAUAACCAGUCGAAAGAUUGGCUAAUACCGCAUGAGAUCGCAAGAUGAAAGCGGGGGACCGCAAGGCCUCGCGCGAGAGGAGCGGCCGAUGUCGGAUUAGCAGUUGGUGGGGUAAAAGCCUACCAAGGCGACGAUCCGUAGCUGGUCUGAGAGGACGACCAGCCACACUGGGACUGAGACACGGCCCAGACUCCUACGGGAGGCAGCAGUGGGGAAUUUUGGACAAUGGGCGCAAGCCUGAUCCAGCCAUGCCGCGUGUGUGAAGAAGGCC
RNAcentral lists this ribosomal RNA (385 nucleotides) under uncultured bacterium. Its description in RNAcentral is "bacterial SSU rRNA". It matches the Rfam family "Bacterial small subunit ribosomal RNA", at positions 29 to 416 of the family's 1533-position model. The record is from RNAcentral.